ACCUGGCUGGCUCAGUCAGUAGAGCAUGCGACUCUGGAUCUCAUGGUCAUGAGUUCAAUGUCCAUGCUGGGCG
Molecule: transfer RNA, 73 nt
Filed under: Ailuropoda melanoleuca (giant panda)
Lineage: Eukaryota; Metazoa; Chordata; Mammalia; Carnivora; Ursidae
Rfam family: tRNA
About the family: Transfer RNA (tRNA) molecules are approximately 80 nucleotides in length. Their secondary structure includes four short double-helical elements and three loops (D, anti-codon, and T loops). Further hydrogen bonds mediate the characteristic L-shaped molecular structure. tRNAs have two regions of fundamental functional importance: the anti-codon, which is responsible for specific mRNA codon recognition, and the 3' end, to which the tRNAs corresponding amino acid is attached (by aminoacyl-tRNA synthetases). tRNAs cope with the degeneracy of the genetic code in two manners: having more than one tRNA (with a specific anti-codon) for a particular amino acid; and 'wobble' base-pairing, i.e. permitting non-standard base-pairing at the 3rd anti-codon position.
Source: Rfam by way of RNAcentral